Molecule: ribosomal RNA, 115 nt
Filed under: Danio rerio (zebrafish)
Lineage: Eukaryota; Metazoa; Chordata; Actinopteri; Cypriniformes; Danionidae
Source: RNAcentral
GCCGGCAGCUAGAUCUCUACAACUCUCACAUGAUUGCCCACUGAAGCUAAGCAGGGCUGCGCCUGGUCAGUACCUGGAUGGGAGACCACAUGGAAAAGCUAGGUUGCUGCCGGAA